GAAGGCUUUCGGGUCGUAAAACUCUGUUGUUAGGGAAGAACAAGUGCUAGUUGAAUAAGCUGGCACCUUGACGGUACCUAACCAGAAAGCCACGGCUAACUACGUGCCAGCAGCCGCGGUAAUACGUAGGUGGCAAGCGUUAUCCGGAAUUAUUGGGCGUAAAGCGCGCGCAGGUGGUUUCUUAAGUCUGAUGUGAAAGCCCACGGCUCAACCGUGGAGGGUCAUUGGAAACUGGGAGACUUGAGUGCAGAAGAGGAAAGUGGAAUUCCAUGUGUAGCGGUGAAAUGCGUAGAGAUAUGGAGGAACACCAGUGGCGAAGGCGACUUUCUGGUCUGUAACUGACACUGAGGCGCGAAAGCGUGGGGAGCAAACAGGAU
This 377-nucleotide ribosomal RNA is filed under the name Bacillus cereus. RNAcentral describes it as "bacterial SSU rRNA". It matches the Rfam family "Bacterial small subunit ribosomal RNA", at positions 410 to 778 of the family's 1533-position model. Lineage: Bacteria; Bacillati; Bacillota; Bacilli; Caryophanales; Bacillaceae. The record is from RNAcentral.